This 21-nucleotide non-coding RNA is filed under the name Caenorhabditis elegans. Lineage: Eukaryota; Metazoa; Nematoda; Chromadorea; Rhabditida; Rhabditidae. The record is from RNAcentral.
UCGCAGUUUGGAUCUUUUAUC